GACGGAUAAUUAUAGAACUUUUUCCACGUGGCUAAUUUCAGUCCCCCCCCCCUCUUUCUCUUCCUUCUCCUCUCUUCCUCUCUGCCUCCCUCAAUUGAGAAAGGCUCAGCACUACCCACUGACAGUCCGAUUCUUUCACCAUUCACCUCCAGGUCUACUAAGCAUUUAGAAGGUACAGGCUGUCUGCGUAACGUUUAAUCAUGAUGUCACUAUAUCGUAUUUUACUAAGGGAUGCUGGCAAAAGGGAAAGAGAAUCCAGUUGAAGGCAGGCUGCAGUGAUAUGCAAAGCCUCAGAUGAUUACCAUUUAAGGAUGUAAAAUAGGACAUUCGCCAAUAAUGGUGACGGUCUGCUGUGAGAGAGCAUUUCCGUAAGCUGGAGUCGUGUGUGUUCCUGUAAGUGACGCUGAAGCACUUCCGACUUCACCCCAACUGUGAGGUCUGAUACAAAAUUUGGGAAAGUAGCUUGCAGUCAAGGGGGUUCCUAAAAUUGCUGGACCUUCACGUCCUAGAGGAAUUCAAACCUCAGGACAUCCAGUUGUCAGAACAUCACAGAAUUCUGAAGACAGCUACAGACAUUGAAAGGCUAACUUGAGGAGAAUAAGAAUGCUCAUGGCUUUGAUUCUUAUCGGUAUGAUAACAUGCAAAUAGAGGCUCCUUUACAAAUGCACGCUUUAAGAAAAUUUAAAUGGUAACUUAUUAUGGAAGACUAGUUUAUUUUAUGACAUGCAUACUUCAAAUCAAUUUUAUAUAAAUUUAAUGUAAAUUUAAAUUUUAUAUAAAUUUUAUUAGUUUUACAAUACUAAUUAAUUUAAGAAACAUUUAUUGAGUAUCUACUCUGUGCUAAUCCUAAGGAAACUGUAAUUUUAAAAAAAGGCUUUCUUUUAUGUCGCUUAAGGUGUUUUAAAAGUAACUUUUUAUAUGAAAGUAAUUUCAAACUCAUAGAAAUAUUGCAAUACUACAAGCAGCAUACCUUUUAUCCAGAUUUAUCUAGUGAAAAUAUUUUGCCCCAUUUGUUUUAUUUUUGCUCUUUCAAUAUCUUUUGCUCAGUAGACAGAUAGGUAGGUAGAUAGAUGAUAGAUAGAUGACUAAUUAAUAGUUGAUAGAUACAUAGAUAGAUACAUAGAUAGAUAGAUGAUAGACAAUUUUGAUGAACUAUUUAAAAGUAAGUAUCAGGGCCUGCCUGGUGGAGCAGGGGUUAAGUUUGCACGUUCCACUUCGGUGGCCUGGGGUUCACCAGUUCAGAUCCCGGGGGGACCUACACACCACUUGUCAAGCCAUGCUGUCACAGGCCACAAUGAGGCGGCAUCCCACAUGCCAUAACCAGAGGCACUCACAGCUAGAAUAUAUAACUAUGUACUUGGGGGCUUUGGGGAGAAGAAGAAAAAAAAAAGGAAAAUUGGCAACAGUUGUUAGCUCAGGUGCCAAUCUUUACAAAAAAAAGUAUAUUAGUGACAUGUAGUCUAAUCAGUAAAAAUAUAUUUAUAAAAACAAGUGAAUCUUAAGCAUGUGUCUUACAGAAGUGGAAAAUCAUUUAGAUGGCAUAAUAAACCAAUAAGAAUCUAAAAGUAAGCAUAUUUUCAAUUAUGUACCUUUUCAGAUAAAAUAUGACUAAAAUUCCUAGUUUAACUCCUAUUAAAUCUGCUAUUAGGUCAUAAAUAUCUUAAGUCAACAGAUUUAAGGCAGAUCAAAUAAAAGUAUCCUACGGCACAAGUCUAAUUUUAGACAAUUUAGCUUUUUAUUUUUAGUUGCACAUAUUCUACACCUGACCCACACCUUUUUCAACUCAUUUAUUCCUUCCUGUGGCCUGUCAUAUAGAGGACUGCAUCAGAAUUAGGCAACAGGUUGCUCGUUCUGAUCAGCCUCUAAUUACCCCAAAUGCCAAUGCCUGGUUUUCUCACUUGUAAAGUGAGAUGUGAGUUGGUCAAUAUCCAAAACGGCAGAUUGGAUUGGUCAUCAGCUAAAAACAGCUACACUGUAUUCUUUGUUGAGAAGGAAUGAAGGCUUAGCUGGGAAUAGUAUUGAUCACUUAGUCUCCAUGGAAGCUGAAAGAUGGUCUAGUGGCAUGUGUCCCAAAUACGUGCUCCCAAUGAUCUUUAAAUGUUAACUGUGUGCGUAUGUGUGUGUAGAAGUGAAGUUUGUCACAUAUGUGUGAAUCUAUUCUCAAGUCCCUAUGCUGUUCUGUUGUUCUGUUUCUCUUAAUACCAACAUUAUGCUGUCUUGAUUACUACAGCUUGUAUGUCUUGAAAUCAGGUAGUGUGAGACUCCCAAAUUUGUUCUUUUCAAAGUUUUUUUUCCUAGUCUAUAUUCUUUAAAUUUACAUAUGAAUUUUAGAAUAAUUUUAUCAAUUUUGCCAAAAACCCAGUUGAGAUUGUGACUGGCAUUGUGUUGAAUCUUUGGAUUGAUUUGGGAGCACUGACAUCUUGGCAAUACUUAGUCUUCCAAUCCAUAAGCAAAGCAUACCUCUCUAUUUAUUUAGGUCUUCAAAUUUUCUCAGUCAUUUUUUUGUAAUUUUCAGUGCAAAGGUCUUGCACAUCUUUUGUCAGGAUUAUCCCAAAAUACUUGGUACAUUUGACGUUAUUGUUAUUGAUGGUGUUUUCUCAAUUUCAAUUUUCGAAUAUUUGUUGCUAGUAUAUAGAAGUACAAUUUAUUUUUGUAUAUUGAUCUUUUAUCUUGCUAAAUGCACUUAACAGUUUUAGUAGUUGUUUUAUAUAUUCCACUGGAUUUUCUACAUGAACGAUCAUGUCAUCUGAAAAUACAGUUUUGAUUCUUUCUUUCCAAUCUGGAUAUUUUUAAAAAAUUCUCGUCAUUUCACUGGCUAGAAUCUAGUACAAUGGCUCUUAGAAGAGCUGAGAGCAGACAUUUGUCUUGCUUCUGAUUUUAGGGAGGAAGAAUUUACCAUUAAGAAUGCUAUUAGUUGUGUAUUUUUAUGUAGAUGCCCUUUAUCAGAUGGAGGAAAUACCUUUCUUUUCUUAUUUUGCUGAGCAUAUUUUCUUUUUAAUUCAGGAAUACACGUUGAAUUCCAAUAAAUUUUUUCUGCAAAUAUUGAAAUGAUCAUGUUUUCUUUUUAAAUUGGUUACUAUGGCAUUGAUUUUGAAUGUUAAGACAACCUUACGUUUUUAGAAUGAUUCCCCUUGGUCACAAUGUAUUAUCGUUUUUAAUUAGUUUUGAUACAAUUUUCUAAACACAUAAACAUUUAGGGUUUUAUUUAUUUAUUUAUUUUUUGGUGAGGAAGAUUCGCCCUGAACUAACAUCUGUUGCCAAUUUUCCUCUUUUUUUGCUUGAGGAAGUCUAGCCCUGAGCUAACAUUGGUGCCCAUCUUCCUCUUUGUAUGUGGGACACCUGCACGGCUGAUAAGUGGACUAUGUCCGCACACAGGAUCCAAACCUUCAUACCUGGAUCACUGAAGCCAAG
Molecule: long non-coding RNA, 3411 nt
Filed under: Equus caballus (horse)
Lineage: Eukaryota; Metazoa; Chordata; Mammalia; Perissodactyla; Equidae
Description: lncRNA (ENSECAG00000053753.1)
Source: RNAcentral